GACGAACGCUGGCGGCACGCUUAACACAUGCAAGUCGAACGAGAGAAGAGAAGCUUGCUUUUCUGAUCUAGUGGCGGACGGGUGAGUAACACGUGAGCAAUCUGCCUUUCAGAGGGGGAUACCGAUUGGAAACGAUCGUUAAUACCGCAUAACAUAAUUGAACCGCAUGAUUUGAUUAUCAAAGAUUUAUCGCUGAAAGAUGAGCUCGCGUCUGAUUAGCUAGUUGGUAAGGUAACGGCUUACCAAGGCGACGAUCAGUAGCCGGACUGAGAGGUUGAUCGGCCACAUUGGGACUGAGACACUGACCAGACUCCUACGGGAGGCAGCAGUGGGGAAUAUUGCACAAUGGAGGAAACUCUGAUGCAGCGAUGCCGCGUGAGGGAAGAAGGUUUUAGGAUUGUAAACCUCUGUCUUCAGGGACGAAAAAAGACGGUACCUGAGGAGGAAGCUCCGGCUAACUACGUG
This 465-nucleotide ribosomal RNA is filed under the name uncultured bacterium. RNAcentral's name for it is "partial 16S ribosomal RNA". It matches the Rfam family "Bacterial small subunit ribosomal RNA", at positions 28 to 507 of the family's 1533-position model. The record is from RNAcentral.